RNAcentral lists this ribosomal RNA (427 nucleotides) under Mini ature. RNAcentral describes it as "partial large subunit ribosomal RNA". It matches the Rfam family "Bacterial large subunit ribosomal RNA", at positions 1946 to 2553 of the family's 2925-position model. The record is from RNAcentral. Lineage: Eukaryota; Metazoa; Chordata; Amphibia; Anura; Microhylidae.
CCGUGCAAAGGUAGCACAAUCACUUGUUCUUUAAAUCAGGACUAGUAUGAAUGGCCUCACGAGAGCUAUACUGUCUCCCUCCCCCAAUCAGUGAACCUAAUCUCCCCGUGAAGAAGCGGGGAUACCACUAUAAGACGAGAAGACCCCAUGGAGCUUAAAAUUUGUACCACCUCCACAACUACACCAACCAACCUAAACAGGCAUGACUACUAAUCUUUUGGCUGGGGCGACCGCGGAGAAAAACUUAACCUCCACGAUGAUCUGUAAUCUAAGAACCACACUUCUAAGAACCAAUAUAUUGACAUAAUUGACCCAAACACUGACCAACGAACCAAGUUACCCUGGGGAUAACAGCGCAAUCCAUUUCAAGAGACCCCAUCGACAAAUGGGCUUACGACCUCGAUGUUGGAUCAGGGUGUCCUAGUGG